Molecule: ribosomal RNA, 1401 nt
Filed under: Burkholderia mallei 2002721280
Lineage: Bacteria; Pseudomonadati; Pseudomonadota; Betaproteobacteria; Burkholderiales; Burkholderiaceae
Description: 16S ribosomal RNA
Source: RNAcentral
GCUCGCCGCGCCGGUCGGCGUCGUGCAGAUCGUCGAGGCGAUCGCGUCGUUCUCGCUCGCGGGCGGCCGGAUGCGCCGGCUGCGCUACAUGGUCGAACGGUUCCGCAAGGCGGGCGCAUGCCGGGUCGUCGAGUAUCGCGCGCCGGACCCGGACGUCGCGCGCGAGAUCCGGCGCGUCAUCUGCGCGUGGAGCGACGCGAAGAAGGUCGUCAACAACGUCGACAUCGUGCUCGGCGAGAUGGCCUCCGGCAGCCUGCACGAGCGCUAUCGCGUGUUCCUGACCUACCUCGACGACGUGCUCCAGAACGUGAUCAUGAUCGCGCGGGACGGCGACGGCUACCUGAUGGACCAGGAAUACUACGUCGCCGACAUGCCGCUCGGCGGCACCGAGUACGCGGUGACGGAGAUCCUCGCCGCGCUCGCCGCGGAGGGCCGCGAGCGGUUCAGCCUCGGCCUGACCUGGGGCCUCUUCGACACCGGCGAAGGCUCGAGCGAUCCGGCGGCGGACGCGUUCCUCGCGUCCACGCAGACUCAACUGCGGCGUAUCUUCGAGCGCGGCGCGGCGAACCGGCAGUACAAGAGCAAGUACGGCACCCGCGAUCACGCGGUCUACCUGUACCGCCGGCCCGGCAAGCCGGAGCCCGCGAUCGUCGGCUGCCUGAGCCAGUUCUACCGGAAAGGCCUCACGCAUCACGAAGUACGGCGCCUCGCCGGCCUGGCCGAUGCGCCCGUGCCGGUCGCCGCGCCCGCGACAGUGCCGCAGGCCACGCCCGCACCCGCGCCGGUGGCUACGCCCACUGCCGACGAACGCGCGUACGACGUGACCCGCAUCGAUGCGGCGACGAUCCGUGUCGAUCUCGUCAGCGAUUCAUGGGCGCACGUCGACUAUCCGUUCAUGCGCGCGCGCGCCGCGACGCUCGAUCGGCACGCGCCGCCCGCGCGCGGGGGCGAUCCCGGCCGCGCGGUCGCCGAGCUGUUCGGAUUCGCGCAAUGCCUGCUGACGACGUCGGGGCGCGCGGCCGAGCACCUGUUUUUCCGCGCGCGGCGCUCGGCGCGCACGCGCGUGCCGCAGAACCUGUUGUUCGAAUCGACGCUGCACAACCUCGUGAAAAGCGGUUUCGAGCCCGUCGAGCUUCCCGACGCGCGCGCGCUCGAUCCCGACUCGCGCGACCUGUUCCGCGGCGGCGUCGAUCUCGCCGCGCUCGAUCGCGAGCUGCAGGCGCACGCGGACGCGACCGCGAUGGUGAUGCUGGAGCUCUGCAACAACGCGUCGGGCGGCUAUCCCGUCGCGCUCGCGCAGAUUCGCGCGAUCGCCGCCGCGUGCCGGCGGCACGGCGUGCCGCUCGUGAUGGACGUCACGCGGAUCGUGAAGAACGCGGAGCUGAUCCGGCGCGGCGAGGC